ACACUGAUCACAGACAGAGGACCAACAAUUUCUGAAGGACCUCAUCCAAUGGGUACCUUGAGUCUUCAGUGAGCUCUGCAUCAGGCCUCUAUCAUACUCCAGCUUGUUUCACAGGGCCUACAGCUGACCAAAGUCCUCAGCUUCUCCAGUUCAGCUUUCUCAAACAAAAGAUUCAGGUGGUCCCCAAAGACCAUCUCUGCUCUUCGUGGGUAUUUCUGCAUCAGAACCACUCCGUCCCCACCACCCUCCGAGAGCUCAGGUGCAAAUCAUCUCCUCAUUAAGCUCCUUGUACAAAUUCACAUACAAAUCCAGAAAAACAAACAGUGGAUAUGAAGAGGCAUUCAGCAGAAUUGGUGGUUGCUUAUAGUGCAGCUUGACUAAUUAGGCCAGCAUUUCCUGUGGUUAGUGUGCAAUUUAUUCGAAGAGUAAGGUAGGUCUAAAGAGGGUCACUGUGUUUGUGUUGACUGUGAAUUUCUUUCCUAUGAUUUCAGAAUUUCUGUUGCCUGUGUUACUCAGGAGAUAAUGUAAAUGCAUUGUC
RNAcentral lists this long non-coding RNA (538 nucleotides) under Numida meleagris (helmeted guineafowl). RNAcentral describes it as "lncRNA (ENSNMEG00000001243.1)". Lineage: Eukaryota; Metazoa; Chordata; Aves; Galliformes; Numididae. The record is from RNAcentral.